CAGUAGCCGCGGGAAUACGCAGGGUGCAAGCGUUAAUCGGAAUUACUGGGCGUAAAGCGUGCGCAGGCGGUUUGUUAAGACAGAUGUGAAAUCCCCGGGCUCAACCUGGGAACUGCAUUUGUGACUGGCAAGCUAGAGUGUGGCAGAGGGGGGUGGAAUUCCGCGUGUAGCAGUGAAAUGCGUAGAUAUGCGGAGGAACACCGACGGCGAAGGCAGCCCCCUGGGCCAACACUGACGCUCAUGCACGAAAGCGUGGGGAGCAAACAGGAUUAGAUACCCGUGUAGUCCCUGUCUCUUAUAC
RNAcentral lists this ribosomal RNA (301 nucleotides) under uncultured bacterium. RNAcentral describes it as "partial 16S ribosomal RNA". It matches the Rfam family "Bacterial small subunit ribosomal RNA", at positions 509 to 807 of the family's 1533-position model. The record is from RNAcentral.